UAAUAGCUCACUGGUCGAGUCGGCCUGCGCGGAAGAUGUAACGGGGCUAAACCAUGCACCGAAGCUGCGGCAGCGACGCUUAUGCGUUGUUGGGUAGGGGAGCGUUCUGUAAGCCUGUGAAGGUGGCCUGUGAGGGUUGCUGGAGGUAUCAGAAGUGCGAAUGCUGACAUAAGUAACGAUAAAGCGGGUGAAAAGCCCGCUCGCCGGAAGACCAAGGGUUCCUGUCCAACGUUAAUCGGGGCAGGGUGAGUCGACCCCUAAGGCGAGGCCGAAAGGCGUAGUCGAUGGGAAACAGGUUAAUAUUCCUGUACUUGGUGUUACUGCGAAGGGGGGACGGAGAAGGCUAUGUUGGCCGGGCGACGGUUGUCCCGGUUUAAGCGUGUAGGCUGGUUUUCCAGGCAAAUCCGGAAAACCAAGGCUGAGGCGUGAUGACGAGGCACUACGGUGCUGAAGCAACAAAUGCCCUGCUUCCAGGAAAAGCCUCUAAGCAUCAGGUAACAUCAAAUCGUACCCCAAACCGACACAGGUGGUCAGGUAGAGAAUACCAAGGCGCUUGAGAGAACUCGGGUGAAGGAACUAGGCAAAAUGGUGCCGUAACUUCGGGAGAAGGCACGCUGAUAUGUAGGUGAAGCGACUUGCUCGUGGAGCUGAAAUCAGUCGAAGAUACCAGCUGGCUGCAACUGUUUAUUAAAAACACAGCACUGUGCAAACACG
This 714-nucleotide ribosomal RNA is filed under the name Escherichia coli. Its description in RNAcentral is "partial 23S ribosomal RNA". It matches the Rfam family "Bacterial large subunit ribosomal RNA", at positions 1135 to 1833 of the family's 2925-position model. Lineage: Bacteria; Pseudomonadati; Pseudomonadota; Gammaproteobacteria; Enterobacterales; Enterobacteriaceae. The record is from RNAcentral.